GCUGGGUGUUGUGGCGCAUUCCUGUAAUCCCAGCAGCUCAGAAGGCUGAGGCAGGAGGAUCUCGAGUUCAAAGCCAGCCUCACUUACUAAGCAACUGAGGUGCUAAGCAACUCAGUGAGACCCUGUCUCUA
RNAcentral lists this small RNA (131 nucleotides) under Marmota monax (woodchuck). Lineage: Eukaryota; Metazoa; Chordata; Mammalia; Rodentia; Sciuridae. The record is from RNAcentral.